This 254-nucleotide ribosomal RNA is filed under the name uncultured bacterium. RNAcentral's name for it is "partial 16S ribosomal RNA". It matches the Rfam family "Bacterial small subunit ribosomal RNA", at positions 524 to 777 of the family's 1533-position model. The record is from RNAcentral.
UACAGAGGGUGCGAGCGUUGUCCGGAAUCACUGGGCGUAAAGGGCGCGUAGGUGGCGACCCAAGUCGAUGGUGAAAGCUCGCCGCUCAACGGCGAGUCGGCCACCGAUACUGGGUUGCUUGAGCACUGUAGAGGCUAAUGGAAUUCCGGGUGUAGCGGUGGAAUGCGUAGAGAUCCGGAGGAACACCGAUGGCGAAGGCAGGUCUCUGGGCCGAUACUGACGCUGAGGAGCGAAAGCGUGGGGAGCGAACGAGG